Molecule: non-coding RNA, 143 nt
Filed under: Aedoeadaptatus coxii
Lineage: Bacteria; Bacillati; Bacillota; Tissierellia; Tissierellales; Peptoniphilaceae
Description: Peptoniphilus coxii GlcN6P sequence
Rfam family: glmS glucosamine-6-phosphate activated ribozyme aptamer
About the family: This entry contains a glucosamine-6-phosphate activated ribozyme that is found in the mRNA for GlmS.
Source: Rfam by way of RNAcentral
GAAGACGAUCAAGCGCCAGCACCUAUAUGGUGGACGAGGAAUGAAGUGAUCGAAAUCAUCGGCGGAUGCUUCAUAGGUCUGCAACCUUAGUAUUGUACAAAACAUCGGGCAACCGUUGCACAAAAUCAAUACGGCAGCUCCCC